This 109-nucleotide non-coding RNA is filed under the name Gillisella taibaishanensis. Its description in RNAcentral is "Rhizobium taibaishanense TPP sequence". It matches the Rfam family "TPP riboswitch aptamer (THI element)". Rfam says of the family: Vitamin B(1) in its active form thiamin pyrophosphate (TPP) is an essential coenzyme that is synthesised by coupling of pyrimidine and thiazole moieties in bacteria. The previously detected thiamin-regulatory element, thi box was extended, resulting in a new, highly conserved RNA secondary structure, the THI element, which is widely distributed in eubacteria and also occurs in some archaea. The record is from RNAcentral. Lineage: Bacteria; Pseudomonadati; Pseudomonadota; Alphaproteobacteria; Hyphomicrobiales; Rhizobiaceae.
UCAGAUCUAACGGGGUGCAAUGGAGUCUGCCAUUGCUGAGAGGCCAAAGCGCCAACCCGCGGAACCUGAUCCGGCUAACACCGGCGGAGGGAUUAGAUGCGCUGCUGUC